GGGUCAAUGAUGAGAACCUUAUAUUGUCCUGAAGAGAGGCGAUGACUUAAAAAUCAUGCUUAAGGCCGGGCGCGGUGGCUC
Molecule: small nucleolar RNA, 81 nt
Organism: Sapajus apella (tufted capuchin)
Lineage: Eukaryota; Metazoa; Chordata; Mammalia; Primates; Cebidae
Product: small nucleolar RNA SNORD115
Exons: 1
Source: RefSeq, a predicted model, not a curated record